AACCCAUGUUGAAGGCACCUUCGUAAUAAGUCCUUGCAUCUUUCCCAUGCAUCAUAAAGAGUUUCUAGAUCCAUCUGCACAAAAGAAGAGAUAUCAUUUCUCAAUUU
This is a non-coding RNA of Gossypium hirsutum (cotton), 107 nucleotides long. The record is from Rfam. NCBI's taxonomy places the organism in Eukaryota, Viridiplantae, Streptophyta, Magnoliopsida, Malvales, Malvaceae.